RNAcentral lists this microRNA (23 nucleotides) under Drosophila melanogaster (fruit fly). RNAcentral describes it as "dme-miR-4951-3p". The record is from miRBase by way of RNAcentral. Lineage: Eukaryota; Metazoa; Arthropoda; Insecta; Diptera; Drosophilidae.
CCAUCAAAAAACCUCACCCACCA